This 666-nucleotide ribosomal RNA is filed under the name uncultured Bacteroidales bacterium. RNAcentral describes it as "bacterial SSU rRNA". It matches the Rfam family "Bacterial small subunit ribosomal RNA", at positions 66 to 720 of the family's 1533-position model. The record is from RNAcentral. Lineage: Bacteria; Pseudomonadati; Bacteroidota; Bacteroidia; Bacteroidales.
GGGGCAGCAUUUUAGUUUGCUUGCAAACUGAAGAUGGCGACCGGCGCACGGGUGAGUAACACGUAUCCAACCUGCCGAUAACUCCGGAAUAGCCUUUCGAAAGAAAGAUUAAUACCGGAUAGCAUACGAAUAUCGCAUGAUAUUUUUAUUAAAGAAUUUCGGUUAUCGAUGGGGAUGCGUUCCAUUAGUUUGUUGGCGGGGUAACGGCCCACCAAGACUACGAUGGAUAGGGGUUCUGAGAGGAAGGUCCCCCACAUUGGAACUGAGACACGGUCCAAACUCCUACGGGAGGCAGCAGUGAGGAAUAUUGGUCAAUGGGCGAGAGCCUGAACCAGCCAAGUAGCGUGAAGGAUGAAGGCUCUAUGGGUCGUAAACUUCUUUUAUAUGGGAAUAAAGUUUUCCACGUGUGGAAUUUUGUAUGUACCAUAUGAAUAAGGAUCGGCUAACUCCGUGCCAGCAGCCGCGGUAAUACGGAGGAUCCGAGCGUUAUCCGGAUUUAUUGGGUUUAAAGGGAGCGUAGGUGGAUUGUUAAGUCAGUUGUGAAAGUUUGCGGCUCAACCGUAAAAUUGCAGUUGAAACUGGCAGUCUUGAGUACAGUAGAGGUGGGCGGAAUUCGUGGUGUAGCGGUGAAAUGCUUAGAUAUCACGAAGAACUCCGAUUGCGAAG